This 484-nucleotide ribosomal RNA is filed under the name uncultured bacterium. Its description in RNAcentral is "partial 16S ribosomal RNA". It matches the Rfam family "Bacterial small subunit ribosomal RNA", at positions 28 to 523 of the family's 1533-position model. The record is from RNAcentral.
GACGAACGCUGGCGGCGUGCUUAACACAUGCAAGUCGAACGAUGAAGCUAGAGCUUGCUCUGGUGGAUUAGUGGCGAACGGGUGAGUAACACGUGAGUAACCUGCCCCGAGCUCUGGGAUAACUGCUGGAAACGGUAGCUAAUACCGGAUAUGACCAAUGAAGGCAUCUUCUGUUAGUGGAAAGAAUUUCGGUUCGGGAGGGACUCGCGGCCUAUCAGCUUGUUGGUGAGGUAACGGCUCACCAAGGCGACGACGGGUAGCCGGCCUGAGAGGGUGAUCGGCCACACUGGGACUGAGACACGGCCCAGACUCCUACGGGAGGCAGCAGUGGGGAAUAUUGCACAAUGGGCGCAAGCCUGAUGCAGCAACGCCGCGUGAGGGACGACGGCCUUCGGGUUGUAAACCUCUUUUAGUAGGGAAGAAGCGAAAGUGACGGUACCUGCAGAAAAAGCACCGGCUAACUACGUGCCAGCCGCCGCCGUAA